AGAGUUUGAUCCUGGCUCAGGAUGAACGCUAGCGGCAGGCUUAACACAUGCAAGUCGAGGGGUAACAGGGGAGCUUGCUUCCGCUGACGACCGGCGCACGGGUGCGUAACGCGUAUAGAACCUACCUUUUACAGAGGGAUAGCCUUUAGAAAUGAAGAUUAAUACCUCAUAGUAUUGAGACUUGGCAUCAAGACUUAAUUAAAGAUUUAUCGGUAAAAGAUGGCUAUGCGUCCUAUUAGCUAGAUGGUAAGGUAACGGCUUACCAUGGCAACGAUAGGUAGGGGUCUUGAGAGGGAGAUCCCCCACACUGGUACUGAGACACGGACCAGACUCCUACGGGAGGCAGCAGUGAGGAAUAUUGGGCAAUGGAGGCAACUCUGACCCAGCCAUGCCGCGUGCAGGAAGACGGCCCUAUGGGUUGUAAACUGCUUUUAUACAGGAAGAAACACUCGUACGUGUACGAGCUUGACGGUACUGUAAGAAUAAGCACCGGCUAACUCCGUGCCAGCAGCCGCGGUAAUACGGAGGGUGCAAGCGUUAUCCGGAAUCAUUGGGUUUAAAGGGUCCGCAGGCGGUCAAUUAAGUCAGAGGUGAAAUACCAUAGCUCAA
Molecule: ribosomal RNA, 609 nt
Filed under: uncultured bacterium
Lineage: Bacteria
Description: bacterial SSU rRNA
Rfam family: Bacterial small subunit ribosomal RNA
Source: RNAcentral